UUAAUUGGUGACUUGUAUGAAUGAUUGGAUGAAAUAUAAACUGUCUCUUAAUUAAUUUAUAAAAUUUAAUUUUUUAGUUAAAAAGCUAAAAUAAUUUAAAAAGACGAGAAGACCCUAUAGAGUUUUAUAAUUAAUUUAUUAAUUUUUUUUUAUUUAUUAUAAAAUUAUUAAUAUUUUAAUUAUUUUGUUGGGGUGAUAGAAAAAUAAAAUUAACUUUUUUUUUAUUUAAACAUAAAUAAGUGAUUAAUUGAUCCAUUAAUAAUGAUUAUCAGAAAAAAUUACCUUAGGGAUAACAGCGUAAUUUUUUUUUUUAGUUCAAAUAAGAAAAAAAGUUUGCGACCUCGAUGUUGGAUUAAGAUAAAAUUUAAAUGUAAAAGUUUAAAAUUUUUGAUCUGUUCGAUCAUUAAAAUCUUACGUGAU
This 420-nucleotide ribosomal RNA is filed under the name Dysphania nelera. Its description in RNAcentral is "partial large subunit ribosomal RNA". The stretch from base 289 to 420 matches the Rfam family "Archaeal large subunit ribosomal RNA", at positions 2542 to 2673 of the family's 2987-position model. The record is from RNAcentral. Lineage: Eukaryota; Metazoa; Arthropoda; Insecta; Lepidoptera; Geometridae.